Molecule: long non-coding RNA, 277 nt
Organism: Oncorhynchus tshawytscha (Chinook salmon)
Lineage: Eukaryota; Metazoa; Chordata; Actinopteri; Salmoniformes; Salmonidae
Source: Ensembl
CUUUGAUGUUCUGUGUUGGUUGUUGCUCAGAGACAGGUUUUGUAAAGGAUUUUGUAGCUGGUCCUGCUAAGACUGUUACCAUGGCCACCAUGACCCUAUCACUGCUUCUCCCCGCUGUUCUGCUCGGAACACUUGACAGGUAAGAUACAUUCCAUUGUAUUCCGAGAUCAUUUUAAGUUUAAAUUAUAACCACAAUUUGUAUUUAUUUACAGAGGAAGUCCUUUGUAUCACUUUUUUGAGGGAGACCUAGGUUGCAUCUGUCAGCCUAUUCCCUACA